GAGCUGAUAGCUCAGUAGUAGAGCACAUGCUUAGCAUCCACGAGGUCCUGGGUUCAAUCCCCAGCACCUCC
RNAcentral lists this transfer RNA (71 nucleotides) under Camelus bactrianus (Bactrian camel). It matches the Rfam family "tRNA". From Rfam's summary of the family: Transfer RNA (tRNA) molecules are approximately 80 nucleotides in length. Their secondary structure includes four short double-helical elements and three loops (D, anti-codon, and T loops). RNAcentral also lists the same sequence under 2 other names. Lineage: Eukaryota; Metazoa; Chordata; Mammalia; Artiodactyla; Camelidae. The record is from Rfam by way of RNAcentral.